RNAcentral lists this non-coding RNA (21 nucleotides) under Caenorhabditis elegans. The record is from RNAcentral. Lineage: Eukaryota; Metazoa; Nematoda; Chromadorea; Rhabditida; Rhabditidae.
UUUCGAAGCACGACAACCCAU